UCGAGGAUCAUUCGCAAUGGGCGAAAGCCUGACGAUGCGACGCCGUGUGAGCGAUGAAGGCCUUCGGGUUGUAAAGCUCUUUCGCCUGGGAACAAGAGAGAGCGGUGAAUAGCCGUUUGAUUUGAGGGUACCAGGUAAAGAAGCACCGGCUAACUCCGUGCCAGCAGCUGCGGUAAUACGGAGGGUGCAAGCAUUAAUCGGAUUUAUUGGGCGUAAAGGGCGCGUAGGCGGGCAUGUAAGUCGAGUGUGAAAUUCCAAAGCUCAACUUUGGGACUGCAUUUGAAACUACAAGUCUAAGAGGAUUGGCGGAGAAAAUGGAAUUCCACGUGUAGCGGUGAAAUGCGUAGAUAUGUGGAAGAACACCUGUGGCGAAAGCGGUUUUCUAGCUUAUACCUGACGCUGAGGCGCGAGAGCAAGGGGAGCAAACA
This 428-nucleotide ribosomal RNA is filed under the name uncultured Candidatus Rhabdochlamydia sp. Its description in RNAcentral is "bacterial SSU rRNA". It matches the Rfam family "Bacterial small subunit ribosomal RNA", at positions 355 to 774 of the family's 1533-position model. The record is from RNAcentral. Lineage: Bacteria; Pseudomonadati; Chlamydiota; Chlamydiia; Parachlamydiales; Candidatus Rhabdochlamydiaceae.